Molecule: ribosomal RNA, 466 nt
Filed under: uncultured bacterium
Lineage: Bacteria
Description: bacterial SSU rRNA
Rfam family: Bacterial small subunit ribosomal RNA
Source: RNAcentral
AUAGAGGGAAGAAAGGGCCCGGACGUGUAGGGACUGAGUGUACCCGGAGAAAAAGAUCGGCUAACUCCGUGCCAGCAGCCGCGGUAAUACGGAGGAUCCGAGCGUUAUCCGGAUUUAUUGGGUUUAAAGGGUGCGUAGGCGGCUUUCUAAGUCAGGGGUGAAAUACAGCGGCUCAACCGUUGCGUGCCUUUGAUACUGGGGGGCUUGAAUGUGGUCGAAGGCGGCGGAAUGGGACAAGUAGCGGUGAAAUGCAUACAUAUGUCCCAGAACCCCGAUAGCGAAGGCAGCUGCCUAGGCCAUAAUUGACGCUGAUGCACGAAAGCGUGGGGAUCGAACAGGAUUAGAUACCCUGGUAGUCCACGCCCUAAACGAUGGUGGCUCGGUGUCGGCGAUAUACAGUCGGUGCCCAAGCGAAAGCGUUAAGCCACCCACCUGGGGAGUACGCCCGCAAGGGUGAAACUCAAAG